AGUGAACGCUGGCGGUAGGCCUAACACAUGCAAGUCGAACGGCAGCACAGUAAGAGCUUGCUCUUACGGGUGGCGAGUGGCGGACGGGUGAGGAAUACAUCGGAAUCUACUUUUUCGUGGGGGAUAACGUAGGGAAACUUACGCUAAUACCGCAUACGACCUACGGGUGAAAGCAGGGGAUCUUCGGACCUUGCGCGAUUGAAUGAGCCGAUGUCGGAUUAGCUAGUUGGCGGGGGAAAGGCCCACCAAGGCGACGAUCCGUAGCUGGUCUGAGAGGAUGAUCAGCCACACUGGAACUGAGACGCGGUCCAGACUCCUACGGGAGGCAGCAGUGGGGAAUAUUGGACAGAGGGCGCAAGCCUGAUCCAGCCAUACCGCGUGGGUGAAGAAGGCCUUCGGGUUGUAAAGCCCUUUUGUUGGGAAAGAAAAGCAGCAGGUUAAUACCCCGCUGUUCUGACGGUACCCAAAGAAUAAGCACCGGCUAACUUCGUG
Molecule: ribosomal RNA, 492 nt
Filed under: uncultured bacterium
Lineage: Bacteria
Description: partial 16S ribosomal RNA
Rfam family: Bacterial small subunit ribosomal RNA
Source: RNAcentral